CAGUCGCCGCGGUAAUACGAAGGGUGCAAGCGUUAAUCGGAAUUACUGGGCGUAAAGCGUGCGUAGGCGGUUUGUUAAGUCUGUUGUGAAAUCCCCGGGCUCAACCUGGGAAUGGCAAUGGAUACUGGCAAGCUAGAGUGUGUCAGAGGAUGGUGGAAUUCCCGGUGUAGCGGUGAAAUGCGUAGAGAUCGGGAGGAACAUCAGUGGCGAAGGCGGCCAUCUGGGGCAACACUGACGCUGAGGCACGAAAGCGUGGGGAGCAAACAGGAUUAGAGACCCCUGUAGUCCCUGUCUCUUAUAA
RNAcentral lists this ribosomal RNA (301 nucleotides) under uncultured bacterium. RNAcentral describes it as "partial 16S ribosomal RNA". It matches the Rfam family "Bacterial small subunit ribosomal RNA", at positions 509 to 809 of the family's 1533-position model. The record is from RNAcentral.